Molecule: long non-coding RNA, 1174 nt
Filed under: Panax ginseng (ginseng)
Lineage: Eukaryota; Viridiplantae; Streptophyta; Magnoliopsida; Apiales; Araliaceae
Description: long non-coding RNA (PGIN_LNC001841)
Source: RNAcentral
UGCAACAAACAGUCUAGUUAUAAAAUGUUAAAGUGCAAUAAAGUGAAGGAGCAAUUUGAUACAUAACAAUAAUAGCUUAUAUCAUCAAUUUUGCAGAUUACAUACAUCGUAGAUCCACACAUUAAAGAAACUAAUUAAAAUACAGAAAACUUUCAAACUCCUAAACAAGCACCAAAGAAACUAAUGAAAGCAGCCCCCGCCACAAAGACUCCCAUCCUGAAACACAAAAAUGUCAUCAAUGUCAACUAAAAGAUGGAAACAAAAUUGCAAUAAGAAAAACAAUCAAACAAAGACUUACAAUCAUCGUUAAUGUCAACGUCCUCCUCAUCGUACACUCCAACAAGUUUUGGACAAAUGGGCAAAUUUAAAAUCCUUUCACUAUGAUAGUUCAAUGUUUUACAUUGAAAGCUCACAAGCUUUACUGUGAAAACUCUUGAUUAUACUGUUUUAAUAUGAUAUUCAUAAUCAUAAUUAUAAAGAAUCAACCAGAAGACAUGUUUGCUAUUAAAUUGAAACCUAAAGACAGAACCCAAAAAUCACAUUUUACUGCCAAAUAAUCCAAUACCAUUUUAUAAAAAUUUAAAAUCCUUUCACUAUGUUAGUUCACAGAUUUACAUAGAAAGCUCACAAGUUUACUGUGAAAACUCGAAAUUAUACUAUAUUAAUAUGAUAUUCAUAAUCAUAAUUACACUACAAAAAUUGCAAAUUCAAUUUAACACAUGAAAGGCCACCCAUAUAUCAUCACAGAAAGAUCUACACAAUUUGGCAAUUCUUAGACAGAACCCAAAAAUCAAAAUUUACUGCCAAACCCUAGAUUUCAUUCAUUUGGUUCAAAUUCUAGUAAUAGAAAAUACCUUGGGAUACUCCUAAAUCGCGAAUGUUCUUGGGAGACAAAAACCACGAGAUUCAGGGAGACUCCUAUGAGUUUUCGGCCGGAGACCGUUUAUCUCACAGCUAUUUUCGGCGACUUGUGAAAGCGAGUCGAGAUUCUUGGGCAAAAGAGGGACAGAAACCACGAAAGGGAAAUCAGCCGGUAUCCUCAAGAUUGUUGUGAAAGGGAAAGAGAGGGAUAGAGACCACGCUACCAGAGCUUCGCGAGUCCGGAUUGUUGUGAAAGGGAAAUCGCGAUUUAGGAGAAAGAGAGGAAAAAGAGAGGCCAGACCUUUUUGACCCG